RNAcentral lists this ribosomal RNA (491 nucleotides) under uncultured bacterium. Its description in RNAcentral is "partial 16S ribosomal RNA". It matches the Rfam family "Bacterial small subunit ribosomal RNA", at positions 29 to 507 of the family's 1533-position model. The record is from RNAcentral.
AGUGAACGCUGGCGGUAGGCCUAACACAUGCAAGUCGAACGGCAGCACAGUAAGAGCUUGCUCCUACGGGUGGCGAGUGGCGGACGGGUGAGGAAUACAUCGGAAUCUACUUUUUCGUGGGGGAUAACGUAGGGAAACUUACGCUAAUACCGCAUACGACCUACGGGUGAAAGCAGGGGAUCUUCGGACCUUGCGCGAUUGAAUGAGCCGAUGUCGGAUUAGCUAGUUGGCGGGGUAAAGGCCCACCAAGGCGACGAUCCGUAGCUGGUCUGAGAGGAUGAUCAGCCACACGGGAAUGGGGAAACGGCCCAGAACCCAACGGGAGCAAGAAGUGGGAAAAAUAGGCAAUUGGGGGAAGGCUGAUCCAACCCAGACGGCGUGGUUGAGGAGGGCUUCCGGGUGUUAAAGCCCUUUGGUUGGGAAAGAAAAGAACCAGUUUAUACCCCGGUGGUUUGGCGGUACCCAAAGGAAAAGCACCGGCUAACUUCGUG